Molecule: transfer RNA, 56 nt
Filed under: Erymnochelys madagascariensis
Lineage: Eukaryota; Metazoa; Chordata; Testudines; Podocnemididae
Description: partial transfer RNA-Ser
Source: RNAcentral
GUAAACCGUAAGGGCAACAUAAAAACUGCUAACUUUUAUCCCCGAGACUAACCACC